This is a long non-coding RNA of Onychostoma macrolepis, 2563 nucleotides long. RefSeq lists it as uncharacterized. Lineage: Eukaryota; Metazoa; Chordata; Actinopteri; Cypriniformes; Cyprinidae. The record is from RefSeq and is a predicted model, not a curated record. The transcript is spliced from 4 exons.
CUUCUCUGUCUUCCUCAUAGAUCUGAAACAAGUCGCCCUCACGCUGAUCUCUCCUGUCACCUGAUCCUUUUCAGAGACUGAAAAAAUGACAUAGCUUUAAAGGGCCAUACAGAUCGUAUUAACAUAAUAUCAUUAGCGAAAUUAUAAAAACAGAAGAUCUUAAAAAGGUUAAGUAAACAAAACACAUCCUAUAAGAGUAUGCACUGUCACAAACGAAGCUAGCUAACGUUAGCUUGUUAGCUUGAGAAUACGUACCUUCAAAGUUGUCGAUAUAGCUCGAAACAUACAAUUUGAAGCCCUUCUCCUUUUUACUUGAAGGAGUGACCGAUGCUAAUCUUACAAUUCGAUUGACAUCGUUCACUGUAAUCCGUGGAAGUUCUUGCGAGCAGCGAGUGUAAAAUGCCAUGCUGAGAGCGCUCAUUGAAACGGUAGGGAAAAACUGCUUCCGCCGCAGCACCGGAAGUUGCGGAGCAACUGACACGAAACGCGGAAGUAGUCGUGCAUCGAGUCCAUUGGUCUCUUUUUAAGUAACGUUAACAUGACAGAUGACUCUGAAACGAAAGAGCGUCUCUCAGACGGAGCGGAUUGGUUUCAUUGGCAAUGACAUCACACUGCUGUAACGUGUUUAACGGUGUUUAAUGAGCGGACUUUAUAUAAAAAGACGGAAAAUCGUUAUCUGUGUGAGAUGUGGUACAUUUACCGGAAAAGACAGUCAAGUUUUUAUAACAGUUUAAUAAAUUUCAUGAGUGAAAAGGCCUGCUGUUUAUUUUAGCGGUUAACGUUAUUUCCCUCUGAAGAACGAACUGUUCCCUCAGACUAUUGUUAUUAUAAUUAACAUUACCUAUUAUAAAACUGUAUUACUUUUUCUUCAUAGGUUUAAAUGUCAUUUAUUUUUGUUGUCGGCCUGUACUUUUAAAAAGUAAUUUAACUAAAUCGGUUAAGUAAAGAGUUAUUCACCUCAGGAAAGCGCACUGCUGGGGAUGUCACUCGAAGGGGAGUCAGCUGUGCGCGCGAUGGGCACAGACCCCGGCUUAUAUAUGACCGCUGCCCGGUUUCGCUACUAAGAAUUUAAAUAUUGAGAGAGUUUAUUUUCAUUUUUUUUUUUAUUUAUGUACAUUUAUAUAAUGACACAUUGCAUUAACUUAGCAUUAAAUGUCAAAAAAAGAUGGGGUUUUCAAAUAGUGUGGUGUUUGUGUUUUCCUACUAUAUUCAAAGCAAUGGUGUUAUCAAGAUAUAACAGUCACAUAAUUUUUUUUUUAACUUCCUUCUUUUUCUCCCAGUUUGAGUCCCUCUUUGUUCAAUAUAAUUGAGCAACCCUAUAGGUGGCGAUUUACGCACGCGAGUCGCCAAUCAGCCAAUAGAUGAAGAGUCACGCUGAACGUGAUGGUUCAGAGAAUUCUGCCCUGAUGUUUGGCUGUGGUCCCUCCAUCAUCCAGACACUCUUCGGCAACUGGUCUUUGUAUGAAGGUCACCAUGAUGUAUACUGAUCUAGUUGUCUCUUCUCCCACAAACUCCAAUUUCGGGAGCUCCUACAAACUGGUGACCAUAUUGGUGAAUGAGAAUAGAGGGGAUUUUCAGACCACCAUUGAGAUGUUUACCUUCCUUCGGAGCGGAGCAACUUUUCCAUGAACUUCUGAUGCUGACCCAGAGGAUGUAGUGAUAGUACCAGAGAGCCCUCAUCAGACAAUAAUCUUAUCAGAAUCAGACAAGACACAUGACCUUUGAAUGACUGGGAUCUUGAUCUUCAGACACCUGAUAUUAUGCAAAUAUUUGUAUUUCUUUGGAGCUCUAGAUAAAACAAACACUGUUCAUAAGUACACAAGAGGUUGCACUUUAUUCUUAUUAGUCUAUGCUGAUCUUGGAUUGGCAUACCAACAGCAUAUGAUUGUUAAGGGGAUAGUUCAAAAAUAAAAUAUAUAUAUAUUUUUAAUUUUACUCACCCUCAUGCUGUCUCAAAUGCAUAUUACUGUACUUUCUUUCUACUGGACAGGUAAACACAAGUUAAGAUUUUUAGGCAAAUAAUUAAUCUCUGUGAGUCCUAAAGAUGCUUUAAAAAGCACACACAGCGACCAUGACCGUAAGCCAUCUGACCUUAGUUUUUAAAUCAGUAUCUUUUGAAGUGAAACAACAGAUAAGAAAAACACUAAUAAUAUAAACUUUUGACUAUUAAUAAUCGCUUCCACUCAACUGUCAAAUGUGCAUGGGUUACAGUUCACUUGUGUUAUGUGGAUUCUCAGAGAUGGAUUAUUUUCUUAAAAAUCUUUGUGUCAAGAAAGAAAGUUAUAUACAUCUGGAAUAGCAUGAAGGCGAGUAAAUGAAAGUAUUUUCUUUUUUUGGCGUGGACUAUCCCUGUAAAGACUGAUAUUGCACUCCAGUACAUUACAUACUCAUUCACUGUUUUGUAACUUAUACUGUAACAGGAACUGUUGAAAGGAUCAUUGCAGUGUUUAAAACAUGAAUUUUAAACAUUCUGUAUGUUAUGCUCUUGUGCAUUUUGUGUGGUAAUGUAAAUUAUAAUAAUACUGUGCAUUAUGUAUACUAUGCAGUUAGUGUUUUGUGGAUU